RNAcentral lists this ribosomal RNA (518 nucleotides) under uncultured bacterium. RNAcentral describes it as "bacterial SSU rRNA". It matches the Rfam family "Bacterial small subunit ribosomal RNA", at positions 991 to 1509 of the family's 1533-position model. The record is from RNAcentral.
GAGAACUUAGCAGAGAUGCUUUGGUGCCUUCGGGAACUCUGAGACAGGUGCUGCAUGGCUGUCGUCAGCUCGUGUUGUGAAAUGUUGGGUUAAGUCCCGCAACGAGCGCAACCCUUAUCCUUUGUUGCCAGCGGCUCGGCCGGGAACUCAAAGGAGACUGCCGGUGAUAAACCGGAGGAAGGUGGGGAUGACGUCAAGUCAUCAUGGCCCUUACGGCCAGGGCUACACACGUGCUACAAUGGCGCAUACAAAGAGAAGCGACCUCGCGAGAGCAAGCGGACCUCACAAAGUGCGUCGUAGUCCGGAUUGGAGUCUGCAACUCGACUCCAUGAAGUCGGAAUCGCUAGUAAUCGUAGAUCAGAAUGCUACGGUGAAUACGUUCCCGGGCCUUGUACACACCGCCCGUCACACCAUGGGAGUGGGUUGCAAAAGAAGUAGGUAGCUUAACCUUCGGGAGGGCGCUUACCACUUUGUGAUUCAUGACUGGGGUGAAGUCGUAACAAGGUAAGCGUAGCGAG